AUACGUAGGGGGCAAGCGUUAUCCGGAAUCACUGGGCGUAAAGGGUGCGUAGGCGGCCAAUCAAGCCAGGGGUGAAAGGCUACGGCUCAACCGUAGUAAGCCCUUGGAACUGAAUGGCUUGAGUGCAGGAGAGGAGAGUGGAAUUCCUAGUGUAGCGGUGAAAUGCGUAGAUAUUAGGAGGAACACCAGUGGCGAAGGCGACUCUCUGGACUGCAACUGACGCUGAGGCACGAAAGCGUGGGGAGCAAACAGGAUUAGAUACCCUGGUAGUCCACGCCGUAAACGAUGAGUGCUAGGUGUCGGGGGUUCACACCCUCGGUGCCGGAGUUAACGCAUUAAGCACUCCGCCUGGGGAGUACGGUCGCAAGACUGAA
This 374-nucleotide ribosomal RNA is filed under the name uncultured bacterium. RNAcentral's name for it is "bacterial SSU rRNA". It matches the Rfam family "Bacterial small subunit ribosomal RNA", at positions 523 to 898 of the family's 1533-position model. The record is from RNAcentral.